This 3580-nucleotide long non-coding RNA is filed under the name Paramuricea clavata. The record is from RNAcentral. Lineage: Eukaryota; Metazoa; Cnidaria; Anthozoa; Malacalcyonacea; Plexauridae.
GCCCAUACUUGCCUGAAGCCAAGAUGGCGGAAAUUGAAGCUCGUUCUGUAGGUAUAAAACACGCGUGAUUUUUGCGUGGGCUUGUCACGAGGUUCGGAGCAAGCCGAAAGCGUGUUAAAAUAUUUUCACAAGUGUGGAUUCAAAGACCAAGAAAUUUCGGGUUUUUUACUUGAAAUACGUAAGAUUUUUGAACUCUUUUAACAGCAAUUAUAAUAAAAAGUAUAUUUGUUGAUAAUAAGACACAAUAAAUCGAGUAUUAAAGUUAUUUUAUCGAGCAACAUCGUUUUGCUUUUAUACUGUUUUACUGACUGAAAAGUCAAACGUUCCAACAGCAAAGAAUUGGUUCAGUUUCAGCUAUAUUUGUGGACUCAGGCCAACGAAUCAUUAAUUAAAAGAUAAGUAUUAUAUUAUUUUACUCUUAUUUGUUAUAAACUAUUGAUUUUUGAACAAGAUCAACUUGUUUAAAUGGUGCCUGUCACUGGGCAUUCCAUUUUGUAUAAUUGUCUCGCUGUAGUGCUUUCCGUACGUGAAGAGACGCAAUGUAAAAUACUUGUCUGCUGUCCACUUUAUUAAUUUUACUUGGUGGUCGUCUUCGACCAUAUCUUCGUUUGCUCCUAGCUCGUGGUCUGCAAACACAGAUUUGUUGCCGUCCAGGAGAAAAUUAUGACAAACUUCCAGAAUCAUUUUGGUUUUUAGGUUUUUCAUGUUGUUGAUGCCGUUGCCUUUCUGGCAGACAUACAGCUUGAAGAUAUGUUCACAAUGUUCGAUUGUAGUGUAAACAGACUUUGAUGGUAUACGCAAUCCGCCGUUGUUGACAAACAAAGUAAACGCUGAAGCUGAAGAUACUUGACUGUAGGUUGAUGGUCCACAAUAGUCGUGAUCUGAUGCUUUCAUGCCUGGAGUAACCUCACCAACAAGACAUUCUUUGCAUGCUUGACAGGUGAGCUUCUUUACAAGUUUAGAGACAAUAAAUCCCCCAAUGUAAAACAAUAUAUUAGAUAUAAAAUCAGAGUGGCUGUUCUGUUGUAGUUGUUCAUACAUGAAAUUUUCUUCAGCUGUUUCCUGUGAAUUUAGGGCAUCUGGCAUGUCAGCAUUCUGAUCCUGGGUGGACAUUUCUGUAAGUGGUGAUCUAUGCUUUAUUUUGUGCAGAAUAGGAAUGAUUGUAGUAGUUUUGUUGUCUUCGAAAUCUAUGCAAUUGGCAUUCUUGGAGGCAGUUACAGCAUUUCUCAUCAACAGCUGCCGUAAAGCAUACUUUAUCUGUAAGCAGUUGGGGUUAUUGUUCCAGCCUCCCUUCGAUCGAAUACAGGAAAACAGGAGUUCGAUAUGGUCCUGCGAAAAUUUAUAGGUUAACAGGUACUUGAAGGGAUCACCAGGUUUUGAAAACAUUUGAUCAGCCAUCUCAAUCGUUGAUUUGAUAGUAGCGACAAAACCAAUUAUGAAGGUCUUUCGUCUGUGCGUUGCCAGCUGCUGUGGACUGGCUGAAUCUGUUUUGAGUUGAAGGAGGUAAUUGGCUGUGGUUCUCAAAAUUUCCUCAUACACAUUCUUGUUCGAUUGUCGUAGUGGUUGUUUGUACCCUUUUCCAAUUGGACUUCUUGAAUUUAGCAUGUCAAAAAGACGGUCGAUUGUUCUGAUAAAUUUGACAGUGCCACAGCUGUUUUGGAAUUUGGGGUUUUUCAUACCAAUGUCAAGAAAUUCUAUUGCAUCAGCCACUGAAGAGCUUAACGUCUGAGCUGCUAGCCGAACAUUCAUUUUGUGCUUUUCAAAUUUGAUGUGGUUGGGUGAUAACUUGUUGCCCAUCUUCAAUCCCUUCUGUUCUUGAAGGAUGUACAGUUGUUGAAAAUGCUCCCACUGUAUUUUUUCCCCUUCACCAUCAAUAAUUGUGCCAAGGUGUGCCAAUGCAUUUCUAGCAAGUUUCAGCAUAUGGCAUGGAUCUGCAAUAACAAAUACAUCCUCUCCUGUGGUGGGGUGUUUAAAUUUUGGAACAAUGGUGUCAUAUGUUGUGCCGAAUUGACAGCCUAGCUGCCGGAAAGUGCUUAGGUUGACUGACGUUCCAUCUGCCGUUAUAGACCAUACCUUUAACCCUGCCUCAGCUGCCAUUUCGAGUGCCAUGUUUAUCAAUUGUGCCUGGUGUGUAGAUGAGAUCUUAUCAGUAAGGAAGUUGCCAAUUGGGCAUUUCCAGUGGCUUCUAGCUCCAACCAGCAGGAAAACGUGUGCUUCCGAAGCUAACGUGUCCGGAUCAUCAAGGAUCGGUCCUCCCUGGCCAUAGUCCACAAAACCAGCAUAACAAUCCUUCUUUGGGUCCCAUAUUGUUUGUUUCCUGAUGGCCAUAGCAUCAAUAAUCAAGCAGCAAUCCUUUUUAAUAGCAUCUCUGCUGACUUCACUUGCCAAGGCAGUAAAUGCUUCCUUAAAAAAACCUGGUUCACAGUUAACAGACGAUGACCACUUCCGAAGGAGCGAUUGAUUUGGUAGUGGAAUUAUAGACCUAACAUACCGGUAUGCUUUAGGAGAAUAAAAAUAUAGUGUUAGUGCAAAUUCCUUCACUUCGUCAGAGUAUCUUCUACCUGUUGGUGUACUGCUUAAGUUGUCUUUUGCAUUUUGAAAAAUCGAUAACUGUAGGUUGUCAAAUGCUGCAUGGAGUAUACCUGCCUGUUCUGUGCUUAUGAUCAAUUUUUCUUGUAAAUGUAAAAUGAGAUCUUUCAUGCUCUGUAACUUUUUCUUAGAUCGUCUCAGUUGCUGUUGUAAACCCUUAAUUUUUUGUCUUAAUGUCUGUUGUAAUUCAGAUCUAUCUGGUUCUUCAUCCUGCUCGUCCUCGGUUAAAUUUUCAUCAUCUUGUGGUUCUUCGUUGCAUCUUGCAUAAUUAUGUUCACGUAGAAUCUUUGCUGCAGGUGACAUGGAGUCUGAUUUAUCUGGUGAUAGUGAACGUUUUCUAGGAAGCCCGAGCCGUCUCCUUUCUGUAUCAGAAAGAUCACUGCUGUUAGGUAUAUCCAAUAUUGAAAAUACUGAUGGUACUGCAUUUUUUUUUAAUCUACAGGUCUCUUCUGCAGUCGUUGGAGGAACAAUGUAAUCCAAUCGUUCAAAAUGGUUACUGCAUAUGAAGCUGUAUCGAGUAGCUCUCCACACUUGGCCAUUGUUGUUUAUUUUCAUAACUGCAUUCUCCCAUUUUUGUAGCAUGAUUGGAUCUUUUAAAGGGAACCUGUAUAUACAUGCAUUUGUAGUUAUAGUAUCAUAUUUUGAUAUAUGACAGGGAAAAGGGGUAAUUAAUUUUAUAUUUUGUAGUGUGCUUUUUAUAAUUAAAUUAACCCAGUGAGUGCCAGGGCUUUCCCCUUGACAAGUGAACUUGUCUGACGUUAGACAGAGUAAAAUAAUAAAGUAGGGCACAGUGCAACUCAAUGGGUUAUUUCACAAUUUGUUUCUCUGAGCCCUUUACAGGGCCUUGUUAGGAACUUAUGAUAUACAGUAGAACUGUUGUUAUUAAUGGGCAUUCAGGCCACUUGUGGAAGUGGUCAUUGAGUACUUACAGUUUGUAGUUUUACUGUACAUAGUUUUACUGUAAAUAUAUAUGUGUAUUGCAUGCCUGGUA